ACUCUGCCCCUCGGGCUUCCCCUUAACGUCACCAGCACGCGCCAUCUGUGUGACAAGCCCAACUGUAGGAGUGGUACCUGACAGUCCGUCUGACUGCUACAUGAACUCACAAAUCGCUGUUGCCAGCCAUCUGGCCAUCCUCCUAACGUGCUCCUGAGUUCUGUGGGCCGAGGAGAGCCUCAGCCAUGCUUUCUGAAGUCACAGGUAA
RNAcentral lists this long non-coding RNA (208 nucleotides) under Rattus norvegicus (Norway rat). RNAcentral describes it as "long non-coding RNA NONRATT022870". Lineage: Eukaryota; Metazoa; Chordata; Mammalia; Rodentia; Muridae. The record is from RNAcentral.